ACAAGUCGUAACAAGGUAUCCGUAGGUGAACCUGCGGAUGGAUCAUUAUGGAAUGGUUGGAUGAUUGUGAGUGAUUUUAUUAAUAGGAGAGUGGUGUUGGUUGGGAAGCGAAGCAGGAAUGCAAAGCAGGAUUGCGAAGCAAGACAGCCAACAUUGCCCACGUUAAACUAUAUAAAUCUAACAAAUACACAUAACAAGAAACAACUUUUAGCAACGGAUCUCUUGGCUCUC
RNAcentral lists this unclassified non-coding RNA (231 nucleotides) under fungal sp. Its description in RNAcentral is "partial internal transcribed spacer region". The stretch from base 1 to 48 matches the Rfam family "Eukaryotic small subunit ribosomal RNA", at positions 1784 to 1831 of the family's 1831-position model. The record is from RNAcentral. Lineage: Eukaryota; Fungi.